AUUUUGCAAAGAGAGCUUCCUUCAGUCCACUCAUGGGAGGUGGUAAGAUUUAAUUAACUGCCGACUCAUUCACCCAAAUACCAAGUAAAGAAGGGAGCCACUGCUUGGUAGAUGAGCGAAUGAUGCGGGAGAUAAGUUGGAUCUUAUGCUUCCCGUUCUUGGACUGAAGGGAGCUCCCUUCACAAAUCAU
Non-coding RNA from Nelumbo nucifera (sacred lotus), 190 nucleotides. The record is from Rfam. NCBI's taxonomy places the organism in Eukaryota, Viridiplantae, Streptophyta, Magnoliopsida, Proteales, Nelumbonaceae.